This 924-nucleotide non-coding RNA is filed under the name Leptodactylus bolivianus (Bolivian white-lipped frog). RNAcentral describes it as "partial 12S ribosomal RNA". It matches the Rfam family "Bacterial small subunit ribosomal RNA". Lineage: Eukaryota; Metazoa; Chordata; Amphibia; Anura; Leptodactylidae. The record is from RNAcentral.
UGGUCCUGACCUUAAAAUCAAUUUUUACUUAACUUACACAUGCAAGUCUCAGCACCCCUGUGAGAACGCCCUUUAACUCCCCAUAGGAACAAGGAGCUGGUAUCAGGCUCAACCCUUAGCCCAAGACACCUAGCUAUGCCACACCCACAAGGGAAUUCAGCAGUGAUUAACAUUGAACAUAAGCGCCAGCUUGAUUCAGUUAAAGUAAAAAGAGCCGGCAAAUCUGGUGCCAGCCGCCGCGGUUACACCACGUGGCUCAAAUUGACUUUACUCGGCGUAAAGCGUGAUUUAAGAGAUCAACUUAUGGUGUCAAAAAAGCACUAAGCUGUGACACGCUUGUGCCUCAGAAGUCCAAAAACGAAAGCUACACCAACCCCACCCACUUGAACUCACGACAGCUUGGAAACAAACUGGGAUUAGAUACCCCACUAUGCCUAGCCGUAAACUUUAACUUACACCUCAAUCGCCAGGGAACUACGAGCAAAGCUUAAAACCCAAAGGACUUGACGGUACCCCAAAUCCAUCUAGAGGAGCCUGUCCUAUAAUCGAUAACCCCCGUUAAACCUCACCACUUUUUGUUCAUCAGCCUGUAUACCUCCGUCGUCAGCUUACCACGUGAGCGUUAUUGAGUGAGCUUAAUGCCCCUACGCCAACACGUCAGGUCAAGGUGCAGCUAAUGAAGUGGGAAGAGAUGGGCUACACUUUCUAUAAUAGAAGAAACGAAAGACUACGUAUGAAACCUAGUCAGAAGGAGGAUUUAGUAGUAAAAAGAAAACAGAGUGUUCUUUUUAACCCGGCACUGGGGUGUGUACACACCUGCCCUGUCACCCUCUUCAAGGCCACAUACAAGUAUAUAACUAAACUUAGCCAUAUAGAAGAGGCAAGUCGUAACAUGGUAAGUAUACCGGAAGGUGUGCUUGGAAA